This 253-nucleotide ribosomal RNA is filed under the name uncultured bacterium. RNAcentral's name for it is "partial 16S ribosomal RNA". It matches the Rfam family "Bacterial small subunit ribosomal RNA", at positions 524 to 776 of the family's 1533-position model. The record is from RNAcentral.
UACGUAGGGUGCAAGCGUUAAUCGGAAUUACUGGGCGUAAAGCGUGCGCAGGCGGUGAUGUAAGACCGAUGUGAAAUCCCCGGGCUUAACCUGGGAACUGCGUUGGUGACUGCAUCGCUAGAGUAUGGCAGAGGGGGGUGGAAUUCCACGUGUAGCAGUGAAAUGCGUAGAGAUGUGGAGGAACACCGAUGGCGAAGGCAGCCCCCUGGGCCAAUACUGACGCUCAUGCACGAAAGCGUGGGGAGCGAACAGG